CCUGGACUCACAACCUGUGAGUUGGGAUUUAGCGUUAAGAGAAAAUAGGACUAUAAAACUGAACCACGUCAGGGAAUCAAAACCAAGAGCCAGAAGAGGGCUUCUGGAAAAGUUCCCGAUUACUGCUUUUUCUUUCCACUUGGGCCUUCUUCACUUGGUGGUUCUCAACUUGUUGUUUGAUUUGGUUGUAGGGCAAAGUGACAAGGAAAUAAAGACCCCUGGAACGUCACCUCCAUUUCAUAACCUCCUACCACAUCACUAGUUCUGAUAGGCAGGCUGCUCUGAGAUGCCGUUCCUGCCUCCUGGACAAGUGUCCCAUGUCUAAAAUGGUUUAGAUAAGGUGUCCCCACUGGAAACACACACCAGGAGUUGGGGCAGGGAAAAAGAGGUGGGAGAGGAGAGAAGGACUACCUACAUCGUGACGACCUGUGUCUAUGCCAAGGUGAGUGUGACGGAUUCCAAUCCCAGGAAGGGGGAUUUCAAAGCUUCAUAUCGUACAUAAGUGUAUAUACAAGUGCAUCAUGUGCUCUCACUGAGGGUUCAGUUUGUCUGUCUACAAAACCGAGCACCCUGCAAAACAUCUCUUUGCACCCCUUUGAAAAUGGCUGAGGAUGCAGCUAGGGCACAGUCAGCCUUCCAACUCUCUCCUCUCCUCCCUCUGGAACACAGUGGCCGGAAGAAAACAGAACGAUAGACCUAGGACCCCGGGAGCCUCUACAGCCACAUGGAUGGCAGAGAGUGGGAAUCUCUAACCAGCUAUCAGCUGUUCCAAGUCUGCAGUCUCAGCUGUCAUCACUUGGACUUCUGGCUUUCUUCACACCCCACCCCACCCCACCAUCAGGGCCCGAGUGGGUGGUGCAGAACAACCCACUUGGAAGGUGGUGUCCAUGGUGGGAAGAGGAAGCACCUUGCAGUGGUGAGUAAACAGGCCCCGUAACGAGAGCCCUUCGCUGACUGCUUCUGAAUAAAGGCUUCAGACUGACUCGUCGGGAGAAUGGGGAAGA
RNAcentral lists this long non-coding RNA (1004 nucleotides) under Lynx pardinus (Iberian lynx). The record is from RNAcentral. Lineage: Eukaryota; Metazoa; Chordata; Mammalia; Carnivora; Felidae.